UUUUCCCACACACUCUCCAAAUUUUCCAAAGAAACCCUAAAUCCUCUUCCUCUCCCAAACUUCAACCUCCAAAUCCCUCGCGCAGCACCUUCACAGUUUCCUCGCUUCCAAAGGCGUCGUUUUCGACCUCCUCGAUGCGCGACACUACGAGCAUGAGGAUCUCACCAAGGAAACGCUCCUCCUCCUCGUCGCUUCCACCUGGGAAGACGGGAAGCCUCCGCUCGAAUCUCGCUUCUUCGCCUCGUGGCUGGCCGAGAGCGCCGAGGAUUUUAGGGUUGGUUCGUUGCUGCUAUCGCGGUUGAGGUUUAGGGACCUCGCAAAGAGGAUUUAGGAGCUGGGCGCGGCGGAAGUGGUUCCUCUUGUUGAAGGGGACGUGGAUGCGGUUUUCGACAGGUGGUGUGCGGCGAUGGUUGGGGUGUUGAAAGGUGGUAAUGACGGUGGUGUUGUGGAGAGUGAUGAGGAAGGGGUAUAAAAUUAUUGGUUCAUAUAGCGGUGUCAAGAUUUGUAGAUGGACCAAGUCUCAGCAUCGAGGACGAGGUGGUUGCUACAAGCACUCAUUUUAUGGAAUCGAGAGUCAUAGGUAAUAUUCACACCCACUAACUGUUUGAUAAAAGGACAGAAUGAAUUUUCACUCAUAUUUUUCUCAGUCUCUCUUAGCACAUCACUUGAUUGAUGAAAGGGUUAGAUGGAAUUUGUUAUUUGAUCAUGAAAAGUUUGGUUAAGUUGCUUUUGGAUUCUGUUAAGAGCAUUAUUUCAUUGUUAGCAUGAUUGAAUGUUGUUUCUAAAGGAGUUUAGUUAACUACAAACAGUUUUUGCUGCUAAUUAACAUGAUUUUCCUGUUCAUUUAGUUGAGUUAGGAUUUAGUGAGAUUCUAUGUUCAUAUUCGUGCUUGUUAUCUGUUUGAUGCAAUGACUGAAUGAAUUUCCUUCGAUAAUUUUGUUCUAAUUUUCAUGCGUGCCAAACUGUUUGAUGAAAUGCUUCACUGAAUUCUUCUCUUUUAUCUUCAUGUCUGUUGAAUUGGGAGUUGAACAAAGCAGAAGAGAUGAUAGAAUCACUUGGUUAUGUGCUCAUGUACUUUUUUGAGAGGAAGUCUCCCUUGGCAAGGCUUGAGAGCUGGUACUAAGAAGCCAAAAUAUGACAAGAUAAGUGAAAAGAAGAUAAGCCAAAACAUGAUUUACUUCUCUCUGGUCUUGUAUACUGAGGUUUACGUAAUUGAUUUUGGCCUUGCGAAAAAGUAUCGGGAUCUUCAAACCCACAAGCAUAUACCAUAUAGCUCAACAAUUCUACCUAUGCAUGAAAAUCCCUCCGUAUGUAUCAUCAUCUGAUUCUGAACUCAAAAAGAGCAAAGUAGCAACACAAGGAUAGACAACUCAUGGGCCUACAACAAUGACAAGGCCUAAACAGGUUGAUAUGCUGAUGGUGG
Molecule: long non-coding RNA, 1423 nt
Organism: Lotus japonicus
Lineage: Eukaryota; Viridiplantae; Streptophyta; Magnoliopsida; Fabales; Fabaceae
Exons: 5
Source: RefSeq, a predicted model, not a curated record